This 301-nucleotide ribosomal RNA is filed under the name uncultured bacterium. RNAcentral's name for it is "partial 16S ribosomal RNA". It matches the Rfam family "Bacterial small subunit ribosomal RNA", at positions 509 to 807 of the family's 1533-position model. The record is from RNAcentral.
CAGUAGCCGCGGUAAUACAGAGGGUGCGAGCGUUAAUCGGAUUUACUGGGCGUAAAGCGUGCGCAGGCGGUUUGUUAAGACAGAUGUGAAAUCCCCGGGCUCAACCUGGGAACUGCAUUUGUGACUGGCAAGCUAGAGUGUGGCAGAGGGGGGUGGAAUUCCGCGUGUAGCAGUGAAAUGCGUAGAGAUCGGAAGGAACAUCUGUGGCGAAGGCGACUAUCUGGGCCAACACUGACACUGAGGCACGAAAGCGUGGGGAGCAAACAGGAUUAGAUACCCCAGUAGUCCCUGUCUCUUAUAC